CCUACGGGAGGCUGCAGUGAGGAAUAUUGGUCAAUGGCCGCAAGUCUGAACCAGCCAAGCCGCGUGAAGGACGAAGGUCCCAAGCAUUGUAAACUUCUUUUGUCAGGGGACAAACUCCGACUCGAGAGCCUGACCGCAGGUACUUUACGAACAAGCAUCGGUAAACUCCGUGCCAGCAGCCGCGGUAAUACGGAGGGGGCGAGCGUUACCCGGAUUUAUUGGGGUAAAAGGGUGGGAAGGCGGGCCGUUAAGUAGGAGGGAAAAGCCCGGGGCCCACCCCCGGCGCGCCGUUGAAACUGGCUGGCUGGAGAGGAGGAGAGGUAGGCGGAAUGCGCGGUGUAGCGGUGAAAUGCGUAGAUAUUGCGAAGAACUCCGAUUGCGAAGGCAGCCUGCCGGAGGGGAUCUGACGCUGAGGCACGAAAGCGUGGGGAGCGAACAGGAUUAGAUACCCGAGUAGUC
RNAcentral lists this ribosomal RNA (459 nucleotides) under uncultured bacterium. RNAcentral describes it as "partial 16S ribosomal RNA". It matches the Rfam family "Bacterial small subunit ribosomal RNA", at positions 338 to 795 of the family's 1533-position model. The record is from RNAcentral.